AGAACGAACGCUGGCGGCAUGCCUAAUACAUGCAAGUCGAACGAACACUUCGGUGUUAGUGGCGCACGGGUGCGUAACGCGUGGGAAUCUGCCCUUGGGUUCGGAAUAACAGUUGGAAACGACUGCUAAUACCGGAUGAUGACGAAAGUCCAAAGAUUUAUCGCCCAGGGAUGAGCCCGCGUAGGAUUAGCUAGUUGGUGAGGUAAAGGCUCACCAAGGCGACGAUCCUUAGCUGGUCUGAGAGGACGACCGAGCCACACU
This 261-nucleotide ribosomal RNA is filed under the name uncultured soil bacterium. RNAcentral describes it as "partial 16S ribosomal RNA". It matches the Rfam family "Bacterial small subunit ribosomal RNA", at positions 26 to 314 of the family's 1533-position model. The record is from RNAcentral.